GCCGAGAUAGCUCAGUUGGUAGAGCAGCAGUUUUGUAAACUGCGGGUCGCGGGUUCAAAUCCUGUUCUCGGCUCCA
The sequence is a transfer RNA, 76 nucleotides long. It matches the Rfam family "tRNA". From Rfam's summary of the family: Transfer RNA (tRNA) molecules are approximately 80 nucleotides in length. Their secondary structure includes four short double-helical elements and three loops (D, anti-codon, and T loops).